AUUGAACGCUGGCGGCAUGCUUUACACAUGCAAGUCGAACGGUAACAGGGAGCUUGCUCCGCUGACGAGUGGCGAACGGGUGAGUAAUAUAUCGGAACGUACCCAAGGGUGGGGGAUAACGUAGCGAAAGUUACCUUAUUACCGCAUCGGACUUAGGGAGGAAGGGGGGGGAUGGCAGACCCUCUUCCUCUUGGAGCGGCCGUUAGUUGAUUAGCUAGUUGGGGAGGUAAAGGCUAACCAAGGCGACGAUCAGUAGCUGGUCUGAGAGGCCGACCGGCCACACUGGAACUGAGACACGGUCCAGACUCCUACGGGAGGCAGCAGUGGGGAAUUUUGGACAAUGGGCGCAAGCCUGAUCCAGCAAUGCCGCGUGAGUGAAGAAGGCCUUCGGGUUGUAAAGCUCUUUUGUCAGGGAAGAAACGGGAGUGGCUAAUAUCCAUUCCUAAUGACGGUACCUGAAGAAUAAGCACCGGCUAACUACGUGCCAGCCGCCGCCGUAA
RNAcentral lists this ribosomal RNA (500 nucleotides) under uncultured bacterium. Its description in RNAcentral is "partial 16S ribosomal RNA". It matches the Rfam family "Bacterial small subunit ribosomal RNA", at positions 30 to 523 of the family's 1533-position model. The record is from RNAcentral.